RNAcentral lists this non-coding RNA (569 nucleotides) under Pongo abelii (Sumatran orangutan). The record is from RNAcentral. Lineage: Eukaryota; Metazoa; Chordata; Mammalia; Primates; Hominidae.
AAAUGUGGUCUGCCCUGCCUCAGGCUGGCUGUGACCUUGAGCUGGUGACGUCCCUGCCUCAGUUUCCUCACCUUCUGAUGGAGAUGGGAGGGGAAGAAAGCAGCUGCCUCUGGGUGGUGGCAGAGAUGCCCAUGUCUAGGACCUCCAGGCCUUACUUAACUAAUCAGGGACACUGAUGAAGCCAGCGGGGCUCCACUGGGGACCACAGGCAAGACUGGGCCAGGACGAGGCGGUCACGCAGAGAAAGAAGAUAAAGGGAACAGAAGAGAAAAUUCAAAAGUCCCCAGAGCGUCCAGGAUUUUUGGUUUCAAACCAAUUUCCUGCUGACCAGAAUGAAAUGGAGCCACAUUCCAGCACCAUGCACCUGCUGAUGUCCUGCAAGUCAGGGACCUUCUCUGCCCCUCUUUUGCUCCGCUGCAGGAGGGGGAAGUUGGGAAUGUGCUCCUCUGGAGUCCCAUCACCUCCAGCCAGCCACUGUCCCUGUCUCCCCAAAACCUCCUCGUUGUCCCUCCUCUGUCCUCCUCCUCCUCCAUCUGCCUUCGCCCUGCUCUCCUCAUUUUCACCUGAGG